AUAUAAGCGGAGGAAAAGAAACUAACAAGGAUUCCCCUAGUAACGGCGAGUGAAGAGGGAAGAGCCCAAGAUUGAAAGCUGGCGUCUUUGGCGUCCGCAUUGUAAUCUCAAGAAGUGUUUUCCGCUUCGGACCAUGCCUAAGUCCCUUGGAAAAGGGCAUCAUAGAGGGUGAUAAUCCCGUACAUGGCAUGGAGCGCCCGAAGCUUUGUGAUACACUUUCUAAGAGUCGAGUUGUUUGGGAAUGCAGCUCAAAAUGGGUGGUAAAUGCCAUCUAAGGCUAAAUAUUGGGGAGAGACCGAUAGCGAACAAGUACAGUGAUGGAAAGAUGAAAAGAACUUUGAAAAGAGAGUUAAACAGUACGUGAAAUUGCCAAAAGGGAAGGGUAGGAGGUCAGAGAUGCGGUCUGGGAUUCAGCCUUGCUUUUGCUGGGUGUUUUUCUCAGAUUGCAGGCCAACGUCGGUUUUGGGCGCUGGAGAAGGGUGGAAGGAAUGUGGCACCUCUCGGGGUGUGUUAUAGCCUUCUACUGGAUACAGUGACCGAGACCGAGGACAGCAGCGUACUCGCAAGAGCGGGCCUUCGGGCACCUUUACGCUUAGGGCGUUGGCAUAAUGGCCCUCUACCACCCGUCUUGA
Molecule: ribosomal RNA, 632 nt
Filed under: Ustilago hordei
Lineage: Eukaryota; Fungi; Basidiomycota; Ustilaginomycetes; Ustilaginales; Ustilaginaceae
Description: LSU rRNA
Rfam family: Eukaryotic large subunit ribosomal RNA
Source: RNAcentral